GAGUGGAGCCUGCGGCUUAAUUUACUCAACACGGGAAAACUCACCUGGUCCGGACACUGGAAGGAUUGACAGAUUGAAAGCUCUUUCUUGAUUCAGUGGGUGGUGGUGCAUGGCCGUUCUUAGUUGGUGGAGUGAUUUGUCUGGUUAAUUCCGAUAACGAACGAGACUCUAGCCUGCUAACUAGUUCGCCGACAGCUCGUUGUCGCGCGGCGCCAUUUCGGUGGCAAACUUCUUAGAGGGACAGGUGGCGUAUAGCCACACGAAGUAGAGCAAUAACAGGUCUGUGAUGCCCUUAGAUGUCCAGGGCCGCACGCGCGCUACACUGAAAGAAUCAACGUGGAUGCCCACCUGCUCCGAGAGGAGUGGGAAACCCGAUGAAUCUCUUUCGUGAUGGGGAUUGGGGCUUGUAAUUAUUCCCCAUGAACGAGGAAUUCCCAGUAAGCGUCAGUCAUCAGCUGGCGUUGAUUACGUCCCUGCCCUUUGUACACACCGCCCGUCGCUACUACCGAUUGAAUGGUUUAGUGAGACCCUCGGACUGGAAUCCGUUUGCUGCUUUCGGGUGGCGGACGGGGACGGAAAGACGGUCG
RNAcentral lists this ribosomal RNA (587 nucleotides) under Haliotis rugosa pustulata. RNAcentral's name for it is "SSU rRNA". It matches the Rfam family "Eukaryotic small subunit ribosomal RNA", at positions 1174 to 1761 of the family's 1831-position model. The record is from RNAcentral. Lineage: Eukaryota; Metazoa; Mollusca; Gastropoda; Lepetellida; Haliotidae.